Molecule: long non-coding RNA, 1355 nt
Organism: Cynara cardunculus var. scolymus (artichoke)
Lineage: Eukaryota; Viridiplantae; Streptophyta; Magnoliopsida; Asterales; Asteraceae
Exons: 3
Source: RefSeq, a predicted model, not a curated record
CCUUCUAGUAUAUCUAAAUCACAAAUUCACCAUACACAUCCUCCCCUCAUUUCCAGCAUCAUCUGCCACCACCGACUUCCCCGUCUUUGGCCAUAUCUUCACGUUCAUCAUUUGUCUGACACCUCUAGUUUUCCGUCCACCACGAUAAAUCCCUCAUCGUUCCUUAUAUGUCCUCCCUACACCAUCGAUUACCAGAAAACUCGAACAACAAUGGCCACCACUAUGAGACUAUCUCCAUCCAAGCCAACGACCACCGUUUGUUGAGACUCAAUCUUCAUCGAACCCAAUACCCACCACUGCUUAGACUCCAUCUCUACUGAACCCAGAUUUGAACACCUCAGAUCUUCAUUGGGUUUGUGUGCGUGUGUCUGAACAAAGAUGUAGAUAGUGAUCUUCGAUAGGUUUCUUUUCACCAGACAUCGACUCUCCUGCCUUUGGAAAAGAUUAAGAUGAAAUGUUUCGAAUCUUUGGUUGAAGAAAACAUUCAAAACUCGAUGAGAAUCGAAGUUAAGAAAGAUGGAAAAUUAAUGAUGAAAAACGCAGAUCUGAACAAAAGGAGGUAACUUGUAACCUGAGGAGGAUGCCUCCUUUUAUACGACUAAACUAAAUCAGAAUUUCCUAGAAUCUUGGCUUGGAACUCUAAGUUCUUGUUCCGCGUUCUUAUCGUUCACGUUCCAUGGAAAGUGGAGCGGACUAAGUCAAGUGUUUUAGAUUCUGUUAGGAGUCUUGCGGGAAAGUCUGAACCGAGCGCCCAAUCCACGGGAGUAGAAUACUCAGAAAGUCUGACUAGGUUGCUCGUCCUCUCCUUUGCACCAGGGGUUGUAUCUCUGCUUCUUAAAAGAUUGUUCUUGAUGUAUCAUAGAGUUGAAUUAGAGUACUUGAAGCGAUGGUCCUCACGGAAGAACACCAUUUUGCCUUGUUCAUUCCUGAAGACCACCUCGUGUUUUGGCUCCACCAACACCGUUCAAGAGGGGAUAUGCUUAAUGCCUUCAAAGUCUUCGUUAGGCGCACUGAGACUAAGCUGGUUUAUCCCCAGAUCCAUAGCAAUUUGGAAGUCGAGCUUACUACGGUAGUCAAGAAGGUCCGUCAUUGUUUGCCGUAUCACGGAGUUAGCCAGAGCAUACUUCAUAACUUUGUCUCGCUUGUGGUCCGUGAAGAAAUACAGAGACAGCAGAUCCCAGGGAUUCAGAUUUAUAAGAUCGCAAUCCGUGAAGGUGAAGAUAUGCCCAUGGAAUCUUUCUACUGUAUACUCGUGGAAGACUGUCCGAUUGUGGGCAAAGGUUGUAAUAACCGGGUCCUGGUUAUCACAUGAGAUAAUUAAUACGUGAUUAUUUAUUACGUGCUUAUGUGAUGGC